Molecule: non-coding RNA, 87 nt
Organism: Macaca mulatta (Rhesus monkey)
Lineage: Eukaryota; Metazoa; Chordata; Mammalia; Primates; Cercopithecidae
Source: Rfam
UCUCAUGAUGUGACUCUCUAGAGGAAAGCGCUUACUGUUGGCUAAAAAAAUAGGAAGCGCUUCUCUUUAGAGUGUUACGCUUUGAGA